GGAAGUAAAAGCGUAACAAGGUUUCCGUAGGUGAACCUGCGGAAGGAUCAUUAAUGAGUUGUCAUGGGGUUCGAUGCUGGCAGCCAGUUUUUGGAUGCAUGUGCUUGCCCUAACAAUCAUCUUCUUCCAAACACCUGUGCACAUUUUUGAGGGAGUCUUGAGUUGGUUGCCGCUCUUGGGUGAUUUUCUCACAUUCCCUUAAAUCAUUAUACGCUAUUAACAAUGUUGAACGUGCUCUGUGCCGCAAGGCCAUUAAUAUAAUACAACUUUUAACAACGGAUCUCUUGGCUCUC
RNAcentral lists this unclassified non-coding RNA (293 nucleotides) under plant metagenome. RNAcentral describes it as "partial contains small subunit ribosomal RNA, internal transcribed spacer 1, and 5.8S ribosomal RNA". The stretch from base 1 to 53 matches the Rfam family "Eukaryotic small subunit ribosomal RNA", at positions 1778 to 1831 of the family's 1831-position model. The record is from RNAcentral.